UGUUAUAUUCUACAAUCGUUAGCAAGCUAUCGAAAGCAGAGUAACCGUCAGAAGGUAGGUGACUAGCCCAAAAGCAUCCGCUGCAAUCCUCAAUCCCGGUCAUCACAUAUCCCAAGGUCUAUAACACUUCCCGAAAGAAGUCACAUUCCCUCAAUUUUUUGAUGGCAACCGAAAUUGAUGCUAACCUGCCAAACAAGAAAGUGCACAAGAAAGAUUGCUCCCGGGGGAACGACCCAUCAAGUUAAUUCCUUAUUAGCAUGACUGACUUCAAUCGUUUCCCUUUCAAAUAA
This 290-nucleotide ribosomal RNA is filed under the name Acaulospora tuberculata. Its description in RNAcentral is "partial 28S ribosomal RNA". The record is from RNAcentral. Lineage: Eukaryota; Fungi; Glomeromycota; Glomeromycetes; Diversisporales; Acaulosporaceae.